This 1576-nucleotide long non-coding RNA is filed under the name Heterocephalus glaber (naked mole-rat). Its description in RNAcentral is "lncRNA (ENSHGLG00100036626.1)". Lineage: Eukaryota; Metazoa; Chordata; Mammalia; Rodentia; Bathyergidae. The record is from RNAcentral.
GUAUAAAACCAGGUGCUCUUGGUCCUCAUUUGUCCCCUUCUCAGGAAAGCUUAGCUCGGGGCUGACAGCUUUGCUUCCCAGGGCAGGCGCACCUCACGCUGGCCCGUGGGUUUCCUCGCUGCGGAGCAGAAGUCUGGCCGCUCUAGCCUUGAAGUGUUGCUGACAUAUCUCUGUCUAUGAACCCCCAGCAGCCAGGCAUGAACUCCCAGCUCAGCAGCUUUACCGUGGGGGCUGUAGCCUCAUGGUUGCAUCUAGCUCCUCAGAUGGACCUGACCCUUGCUGGAGAGGGGUUGACAAGUUGUGGGAAGAAGCUGUGCUCCCAGGUUUUCUCAGGAGCAGGAGACAGCAAAGGGGUCUCACACACAAACUCUUAAUAGCAACCCCAUUUUAUUGGUUAUUUAUUUUACUCCCAUAUAGUAUGUAUUUCAGUAAGUGCAUGCAUGCAUUUAUAUAUACAUGUUUUGAAUCAUUUAAUCCCCAGUACAACCCAAAGAAGAGGUACUUUCCCACUUCAUGGACAAGAAGCUGAGGCCCAGAGAAGGGAGAUACGCUGUCCUCGUGGUAGUGAUGUAGUGGGUUCCCUUCUCUGCACUCAAGCCUGGGCAGCUUGGCCUGGAGUCUGCACUCUGACCCGGUACUGUGCUACCUGGGUGAGGAGACUUUGGAGGAGGCCAGAGGGGACCGUGUGGACAAAGGCUGGGAGGCUUGGGACGGUCAGUUUGUAAGUGGGUGGACAUCCCAUCACACCAUUGUCAAUGCCGUUUAUGAAGUAGUGAGGGUGGCACCAGCAACAUGGAAACGCACAGGAGGGACAGACCCCUAAUGGUUCCAGAGAGCUACUUGGUUAAAGAGCAGUUUCUUGAGGGCUUUGGUGAUCACUGCACAGACUCCUCUCUCAACACCUAAGCCCACAUUCCUAGCCACUGGACACAUGGACCUGCCUAACAUGACUGCCUCCAAGCUUUUGUACCUGCUGUGCCCUCUGUCUCUGCUAAGCUCCAUGUAUCUUUCAAGCUGAGACUCCCCUGCCUACAGUCUGGAUCCUCAUGGAAAGAGCUGAGCCAUGAUUAUGCAUAUUCCCAGCCUGGCACUGUAACAACUGCAGGCCCUGUAUCUAAUCCCCUAACACUCAGGCAGCACUCAAAGGUCCUGAGUGCCUGAAGGAGCUGGCUGGCAUCAGGAAACUCCAGAAAGAAGGAAGAAGGAAUGCAGAAGGAAUGGAAAAGUUUUCCCAGGCUUCACAUGCAGACAGAGGUUGUGUCUAUAUUGUUUGCCAGUGAAUUCCCAAGGCUUUGUGUGGCAGGCAGACAGAGGUUUGGAUUAAUGUAGUCAUUGCUGUACACCAAGGUUCGGGUUAGUGACAGCCCACAUACUAGACAGUGGCCCCAUAAGAUCAUGCUGGAGGUAAAAAAUUUCUGUCACCUAAUGACAUUAUAGUCAUUGUAAAAUGUAGUGCAUACAACAUAUUACUCACGUUUGUGAUGCUGGUCUAAACAAACCUACUAUGCAGCCAGUCAUGUAACUACACAACUACAUAUAGUACAUAACACUUGAUAAUGCAAAUAAAUGACUGUGC